UGGGGCAGCUUACACAUGCAGUCGAGCGGGGUGAUGGUGCUUGCACUAUCACCUAGCGGCGGACGGGUGAGUAAUGCUUAGGAAUCUGCCUAUUAGUGGGGGACAACAUUUCGAAAGGAAUGCUAAUACCGCAUACGUCCUACGGGAGAAAGCAGGGGAUCUUCGGACCUUGCGCUAAUAGAUGAGCCUAAGUCGGAUUAGCUAGUUGGUGGGGUAAAGGCCUACCAAGGCGACGAUCUGUAGCGGGUCUGAGAGGAUGAUCCGCCACACUGGGACUGAGACACGGCCCAGACUCCUACGGGAGGCAGCAGUGGGGAAUAUUGGACAAUGGGCGCAAGCCUGAUCCAGCCAUGCCGCGUGUGUGAAGAAGGCCUUAUGGUUGUAAAGCACUUUAAGCGAGGAGGAGGCUACUUUAGAUAAUACCUAGAGAUAGUGGACGUUACUCGCAGAAUAAGCACCGGCUAACUCUGUGCCAGCAGCCGCGGUAAUACAGAGGGUGCAAGCGUUAAUCGGAUUUACUGGGCGUAAAGCGCGCGUAGGCGGCUAAUUAAGUCAAAUGUGAAAUCCCCGAGCUUAACUUGGGAAUUGCAUUCGAUACUGGUUAGCUAGAGUGUGGGAGAGGAUGGUAGAAUUCCAGGUGUAGCGGUGAAAUGCGUAGAGAUCUGGAGGAAUACCGAUGGCGAAGGCAGCCAUCUGGCCUAACACUGACGCUGAGGUGCGAAAGCAUGGGGAGCAAACAGGAUUAGAUACCCUGGUAGUCCAUGCCGUAAACGAUGUCUACUAGCCGUUGGGGCCUUUGAGGCUUUAGUGGCGCAGCUAACGCGAUAAGUAGACCGCCUGGGGAGUACGGUCGCAAGACUAAAACUCAAAUGAAUUGACGGGGGCCCGCACAAGCGGUGGAGCAUGUGGUUUAAUUCGAUGCAACCCGUAGAACCUUACCUGGCCUUGACAUAGGAAGAACUUUCCUGAAAAGGAAUGUUGUCCUUCGGGAACUUACUUACGGGUGCUGCUUGGUGGAUCUCUCGCUUCGUGCCGUGAGAUGUUG
This 1045-nucleotide ribosomal RNA is filed under the name Acinetobacter sp. Its description in RNAcentral is "bacterial SSU rRNA". It matches the Rfam family "Bacterial small subunit ribosomal RNA", at positions 38 to 1077 of the family's 1533-position model. Lineage: Bacteria; Pseudomonadati; Pseudomonadota; Gammaproteobacteria; Moraxellales; Moraxellaceae. The record is from RNAcentral.